ACCAGCCAAGUAGSGKGAAGGAUGACUKCCCYWCGGGUUKUAAACUUYUUUUKKUUGGGAAUAAAAGACGCUACGKGUAGCGUUYUGCAUGUWCCUUACGAAUAAGCAUCGGCUAAUUCCGKGCCAGCAGCCGCGGUAAUACGGAAGAUGCGAGCGUUAUCCGGAUUUAUUGGGUUUAAAGGGAGCGUAGGCGGGCUGUUAAGUCAGCGGUAAAAUGUCAAGGCCCAACCUUGUCCUGCCGUUGAAACUGGCGGUCUUGAAUGCACACAAGGGAGAUGGAAUUCGUCGUGUAGCGGUGAAAUGCUUAGAUAUGACGAAGAACUCCGAUUGCGAAGGCAGUCUCCUGGGGUGCUAUUGACGCUGAGGCUCGAAAGUGCGGGUAUCAAACAGGAUUAGAUACCCUGGUAGUCCGCACAGUAUCGAUGAAUGCUGGUUCUUGGCGAUA
RNAcentral lists this ribosomal RNA (445 nucleotides) under uncultured Bacteroidia bacterium. Its description in RNAcentral is "partial 16S ribosomal RNA". It matches the Rfam family "Bacterial small subunit ribosomal RNA", at positions 387 to 831 of the family's 1533-position model. Lineage: Bacteria; Pseudomonadati; Bacteroidota; Bacteroidia. The record is from RNAcentral.